AGUGAACGCUGGCGGUAGGCCUAACACAUGCAAGUCGAACGGCAGCACAGUAGGAGCUUGCUCUUACGGGUGGCGAGUGGCGGACGGGUGAGGAAUACAUCGGAAUCUACUUUUUCGUGGGGGAUAACGUAGGGAAACUUACGCUAAUACCGCAUACGACCUACGGGUGAAAGCAGGGGAUCUUCGGACCUUGCGCGAUUGAAUGAGCCGAUGUCGGAUUAGCUAGUUGGCGGGGUAAAGGCCCACCAAGGCGACGAUCCGUAGCUGGUCUGAGAGGAUGAUCAGCCACCCGGAAAUUGGGAACCGUCCCGGACUCCUACGGGAGGCAGCGGUGGGGAAUAUGGGCCAGUGGGGGCAAGCCUGUUCAAGCCAUACCGCGUGGGUGAAGAAGGCCUUCGGGUUGUAAAGCCCUUUUGUUGGGAAAGAAAAGCAGCAGGUUAAUACCCCGCUGUUCGGACGGAACCCAAAGAAUAAGCACCGGCUACCUUCGU
This 491-nucleotide ribosomal RNA is filed under the name uncultured bacterium. RNAcentral describes it as "partial 16S ribosomal RNA". It matches the Rfam family "Bacterial small subunit ribosomal RNA", at positions 29 to 506 of the family's 1533-position model. The record is from RNAcentral.